GACGAACGCUGGCGGCGUGCCUAACACAUGCAAGUCGAACGGAAAGGCCCUGCUUUUGUGGGGUGCUCGAGUGGCGAACGGGUGAGUAACACGUGAGUAACCUGUCCUUGACUUUGGGAUAACUUCAGGAAACUGGGGCUAAUACCGGAUAGGAGCUCCUGCUGCAUGGUGGGGGUUGGAAAGUUUCGGCGGUUGGGGAUGUACUCGCGGCUUAUCAGCUUGUUGGUGGGGUAGUGGAUAACCAAGGCUUGGACGGGUAGCCGAGCUGGGAGGGGGACCGGCUCCGUUAGGACUGGAAUGCGACCCAGCCCAGACCGGGACGCGAGGGAGGAGAGGAUAACACAGUAGGAGGGGGGCAGGUGUGGCACAGCCGCGUCGGGUGAGUGGGCAUUGGGGUUGUAAACCAAUGCCGCCUGACCCGGGGCGAGAGUGACGGUAACGGGUAAAUAAGCACCGGCUAACUACGUG
RNAcentral lists this ribosomal RNA (468 nucleotides) under uncultured bacterium. Its description in RNAcentral is "partial 16S ribosomal RNA". It matches the Rfam family "Bacterial small subunit ribosomal RNA", at positions 28 to 507 of the family's 1533-position model. The record is from RNAcentral.